UUUUUUUUUUUUACUGUAAUCGUAAACUGGCCCGUUUGGUGCGCAGGAUAGUAUAGUGACNNNNNNNNNNNNNNNNNNNNNNNNNNNNNNNNNNNNNNNNNNNNNNNNNNNNNNNNNNNNNNNNNNNNNNNNNNNNNNNNNNNNUAAUCGUAAAUUGGUCCGUUUGGUGCGCAGGAUAGUAUAGUGACAAGAUAUGAUAUAAAACAGGAUAAGGAUAAGAUAUGAUAACAACAUGAUAACAUUUAUACUCAGUUAUCAUAUCCUAUGUUUGGUGCACGAAGGAUAAUAAACAUGAUAACUAUUAUAUUUUGUUUUUAAUACAUACUUGCUCAUAAUAAUAUGAUAAGAUAUAUAACAUAUUUAAUUGACAAAAUUACUCUUGUAAAACAAUUGUUAUUUUUUAAAAAUUAUUUUGUANNNNNNNNNNNNNNNNNNNNNNNNNNNNNNNNNNNNNNNNNNNNNNNAAUUUAAAUUAAUAUCCCUAUUUGUCAAUUUUUUAAUAAUCAUUUUACUUUAAAAUAUUGUAAUUUUAGUAAAAUUUUGAUUUUUUAAAAUAUAUAAAUUACAAAAUUACCCCUGUGAGAAAAUCACAUAAAUAUUUAAAAAUUAAUUAUUUUAUUAUUUAUAUUUUAUUAAUUUUAUUUUAUGUAUUUUAAAAUAUAUUUUAUAAAAUAAAUCAGUAAAUUUUUUUUCUUCUUAUCCUAUCCUGCUGGUAACUCAGCUCAAAUUCAGGAUAAGAAUUAUAACUAGAGAGACAGGAUAAGAUAAGCUUUAGGAUUAACUUAUCAUAUCCUGCUGUAUCAGUACCAAACACUAGAUUGCGACAGGAUAUGAUACAGUUAUCCUAUCCUGUUAGUGUUUUAUUAACCAUAAAACAAACUAUAAUAACCUACUGUGAAAUGAAAAUAGCCAUUAUCAGUAUCUUCACCUUUAUUUCCUUAUAUUUUUGCUUUUAUCUCUUUUUAUUUUUUUAUUUGGAUUUUCAAUAAAGUUAGAAACAAUAAAAACUUGAGAAAUUCUUAGGUGAGUCCUCAUCUAAGCAUUAAUUAUUAGGCACGACCAAUCAUAAAAUUACAACUCAUUAACAUAUUAAAUAAUUAUAAAUAAAUAAUAGAGCAUUAAUAAGAGCAAAUCUUAACCAAUCUUGGAAAAUAAGGAAAUAACAAAACUCAUGCCAACUUGAUUUGUUAUUGCGCCAAAUUUUAGUAAGUUAUAUUCCCUCCCAAUUUGUAUGUGUGGUGACACAAGAAAAUUGAUUUAAUUUGUGGUGUUCGAUAAAAUUAACGGUUGAAUUAGUUUAUAAAUAUGAAAUGAAAUAAAAGAGUAAUAUAUUUAAUUAAUAUUUAAUUUUUUAAAGUAAGAAUUUGGAAGAAAAAUUAAUAAGUAAUAAGCAAAUUGAAUUAGCUUAUAAAAAUACGUGCACAUACCUAGUAAAAAAAUUAUAAGCUCGUGUNNNNNNNNNNNNNNNNNNNNNNNNAUAUAUAUAUAUAUAUAUAUAUAUAUAUAUGAAUACGUACCAAACUAUAAUCGCAACUUAAAAUAAACAUAAAAAAUCAGUAAAACUCAGUGUACUUAGUAAAUAGUAGAGCAAUAAUAUUGUAGUAAAAUAAAUUAAAAUAUCCUUCACCUUAGUUAAACUUAAAAUGUAGGAAUAUAGUGCAACAUAAAAUUGUCUUCAUCUAAUUAUAAUAACUUAUAAUUAAAAUUGCUAUUUGCUAAAUGUAAUUGCAAAACAAAAAUUAUGUCAAAUGCCAUUCAAUAGUUUGAUGCUAAGAACAAAUUAUCCUUAUUUGUCUUGAUCAAUACUGCUACUUGGAGGCAACCAGCUAUAAUGGUAAGGUUCCUGUAAAAAAAAGUAAUUAGCAGAAGUGAAAUAUUAAUAUUAAAGAAGAAAAAGAAUAUAACANNNNNNNNNNNNNNNNNNNNNNNNNNNNNNNNNNNNNNNNNNNNNNNNNNNNNNNNNNNNNNNNNNNNNNNNNNNNNNNNNNNNNNNNNNNNNNNNNNNNNNNNNNNNNNNNNNNNNNNNNNNNNNNNNNNNNNNNNNNNNNNNNNNNNNNNNNNNNNNNNNNNNNNNNNNNNNNNNNNNNNNNNNGCCAUUCAAUAGUUUGAUGCUAAGAACAAAUUAUCCUUGUUUGUCUUGAUCAAUACUGCUACUUGGAGGCAACCAGCUAUAAUGGUAAGGUUCCUGUAAAAAAAAGUAAUUAGCAGAAGUGAAAUAUCAAUAUUAAANNNNNNNNUAAAGAAGAAAAAGAAUAUAACAGAAGAAAAUACAACCAUGUAAAUAGAAAGAAACGUAGAAACAAUAAUAUAGACAGGGAUGGACACAAGUAGGGGCUGGGUGUGGCUAAAGCCAUACUAGAUUUUUCAAUUUUUUUUUAAAAAAAAUAUAUAUAGAGUGAUUAAGAAAAAAUCCAAGACAGAAACAGAAUAGAAGACCAAUUUUUCACGUUUCAGCAGCAGCAACGUAUUUCUUUCUCUUCCUCUUCACCGCCACUCAUCUUCACAUCGUGAAAAUUGAUCUUCUAUUCUAUUUCUGUCUUGAAUUUUUUCUCUUUCACUCUAUAUAUAUUUUUUAAAAAAAUAAAAAAAAUUGAAAAAUUUAGUGUAGCUUUAGCCACACCCAGCCCCUCCUGUGUCCGUCCCGGUGAUGAGCUAGAUGACUCUCUUAAUACUAAAAGAAUGGCAAGGAUGAGUUUCAUCUAAGUCUAACUUUUGUGUCAUGAAUUUGAUUGACAUGAAAGAACCAUCCAAUAAUUAUCUUUUAGGACAUUUUGUUUAAAGAUGUUUAUAGAAAUUAUGGCCGAUAUUUUGUUAUGAGGUUUGUUUAACCACGAUAUUUGAUUUUUUGCUAUGAGGUUUGAUUCAAUCCAAUUGAAACCCGUGAAAGCAACGAUAUCUUAAAGCAACUACAACAAAUAAAUUAUCCAAUUAAAGUUAUAAAUACGUGCAACGUAUUUUUCAUAUUAAACAUCAACUAAUAUAUUAUGUCCUUUUGUAAGAAGAAUUUGCAUAUUCUAACAUAUAGUUAAGUGGCUUAAAAAUAUAUUUUAUAACCUUCAUGUAGUUUGUACUUUGCAUUUAAUUGAGAAAUGUGCAGUCAACUGGUGCAAACCUUGUAUAUUAGGAGUUCAAAAUUAAUAUAAAUGGGAUUAUAAGUGGAAUUUCAACAAAUUGAAGGGGUGCCAAUUGUGCAAGUGAGCCCCUGGUCACUAUAACUGGUUUGUCUAAGAGUAUAAUUUAGUUUAAUCUUAUAAAAAAUGUUUUGUGUUCGAUUGACUUGCGAAGACUGAAGUCCUUUAAAGAUUUAUAAUAAUGGUUAUCCUCAACUCAGUUUCGUGUUGAUGACUGAUGUUGUAGAUUUUAUUCAUCCGCAAGCUUAAUUUAUUUUCUUGUUGCUGUGUCGCUUGUGCUUAUUUUCCAGCUCAUAAAAAAUAAGAAAUGGGUUGCAAGAAAUUAAUUCAUGGUUUUGUCAAAAUUUAUCUCAAGUUUUUAUCAAAAUUGCUUUGAACCUUAAUUUGAUUACCCAAAAGAAUGUUUUUUUUUACAUCCUCUACACAUAACUGUAAAGAUUAAUUCAUCGAGUUUUGUCAGAUUCAAGAGUGACCCUUAGAGAGUACAGAGUGCCCAAAGAAUGUCUUCUAAAAAAUAUUCCCUCCGUUCCUUUAUACUUGUCAUUUUAGAAAAAAAUUUGUUUCAAAUUACUUGUCGUUUUGAUAAUUUAAGGUUAAAUUUUGUCUAUCAUACCCUCAUGUAAAUCCCAAAUAUUUAGGAGUAGUUGUUGAAACCGUAAAAGAUUUAAUAUAUAUUUGGAAAACUGAAGUAUUUUUUUUAAUUUUUUUUGGUACAUAAUAUAUUAAAUUUAUUGGAAAGAGAAAGUGUGUGAAAAAAAAUUGGUGAAUUAAAAAAGUGUAUAAUAGGAAGAUAAAGUGCAAAAAUAUACUAUCUUAAUUUAUUGUUUUUUCUAAAACGACAAGUAAAAAGAAACAAAGAGAGUAUUUGUAUAUAUCUCUUAAAAGAAUUAUAAAUAAAGUCAUUAGGUUUGGUCUAGUGGUGAAGGACUUGAGUAAUACACUAUAGGUCAUCAGUUUGAUUCCCAGCUCAUUGUAAACAAUAAAUAAAUAAAUAAAAGAAUUAUAAUUAAAAAACAAAAUAAAAAUUUCCAAUACUUUUUUCAUCUAUUUUUGUUCGCCUAAUCUAAAGUGACUAGGUCUAUUUUUCAGGAAAAUAAAAUUAAAAAACAAGGAUUUGUCAUGUCUCAAACACAAAUAAAAAUACGUGUAUCUUCUCCUUCUCCAUCCACUUAUAGAAGGAAUGUAUUUUUGAAGUAGCUAGAAGAUAUUUUAUUGUUAUUGAUAUGAAUAUAAAUAUUUUUUAUCUGAGUUACAAAUGAUGACUAUUUUUUUUUUAUGUUAUUUACAAUUUAAAUGAGUAUUAUUUUUUGAGUUUUUUUUUUUGUUUUUUUAAUUAUUAAGUGGUUUAUACAUUCAGUGUCAGACCUCCAAAUUGUCAACGUCGGUUAUGAGUGAUAAAUAUUCCCUAAAAGUUUUAACGUUGCUACAUAAUUAAAUAAAAAAAAAUGCUAAACAGUACCACCAGACACUAGUUAAUGAUACAAAUAUGAAAAUUGGGUCAUGUUAACAUAUGCCCUAAGGGCACAUGAUAAAAUACCUAAAUAUAGAAAUUUAGCAUUUAAUGAUACAAAAUAUUAAAUGUUAAAAAAGUUGAUUACACGAUUUUCAAGAGCAUAUUUCCACAUUUAUCUCAUUAAAAUGUGCCUUAAGGACACAAGUUAACAUUUUCCUUCUUUUUUUUAGUAUGUUUAACUAGUGCACGAAACACUUUUUAGCAUAACCCUUAAAUCAAAUAUCAAACUCAAAACUUUAUUUAAAUUAGAAGAGAUUUACGGUAUCUCGUCUAAUCGCAUUUGUGUAACAAAAAAAAAAAGUUGUAUGCAAGUGUUUUUUUCACAUCCUAUAUUAUUAUAUUAACAACAAAAAAAAUGUAGUUCAACAACACCAACCCCACAAUUUCAAUGCCUGUGCCAGUUCAAAUAGGAAAGGAAAUAGUAACCGUAACAAGACCACAUUAUUCACACACAAAUGUCAAAAUCAAAUGUUAAUGUGAUGCCAAAAAAGAAAGAAAAAGAAACGGGGUUUUCUUUUCCUGGCAAAAUCCUCGCAUAUUCCUCUGUCCUCCAAGGCUACACUAUGCUUUUAUCUCAUUAACUUUUUUGACAUAAACAAACAUAAAUACUCAUUGUUUCCAAGCAUGCACAAUUUUCCAAUUUUGUUCUUGUGCACACUUGACAUUUUUCCAAACAAUUUUAACAUUGCUCUGUAUGAUCCAAUGCCAGACUCGGAUUUGAAUCUGACUUUUUUUUUUUGUUAAAUUAAAAAUAAUCCGUAAAUAAUUUUUUAACUAAAAAAUCCAAUUUUUUUAAAAUGAAGCUGAAAAUUGAAUUAAUACCUCUAGCAUAUUAUCCAAACUACCCCAUUAUAUCAGAUUUAAUGGCUUAUUAAAAAAAUCCUUUUCAAUCUUAUCUAUAUGCAAUGCUUUUAGGUAUAAUAUUAAUUUUCCAAAUUUUUAUUUAUUGAUAAGCAUUAAUUUUCCAAAUUUGAUACAUCUCUUGUUACUUUAAAACUAUUUUUAUAAUACCAAAAAAAAAAAAAUUCUAUUAUACAAAAAGAAACUAUUUCCUAUUGAAUAAAAAAAUCUAUUUUCUGUUAAAAAAAUAAAAUAAAAAAAGCUUUCUAUUAUAGCCUUUUAAUUUCUUAAUAUUUUUUAUUUAAUGAAUAUAGUGACUAAACCAUAAAACAUUUCUCAUAUUUUUUAAUGAAUACUCAUUUAAUAAUUUUUUUUACAUACCAUAAAGUAAUAUUUAAGAAAUCCUCUCACACAAUUAUUUUACACGGACAAUGAAAAUAAAUUAAAAAUAUAUCUUAUUAUACAAACUAUUAUAAAUACACUAGUCUCACAUCAUUUGACAAUCGAGAUUAAUACUAAUUUAUGUACAACAUCCAUAUCUUUCAAAUUAUCAAGACACCUUUUCUACGAAGCUUUGACAAGUUAACCCAAAAUGGACAAUAUCUAAAAAUGUGAAAUUGAGGUCGGAUCGGAAUAAGAACUAAAAUUAAUUUUGCCAAGUGAAAUUAAAACAACACACACGAAUGACUCAAGAUCCGAGUCCAACCAACGUAGGAAACAAUUUAUUUUCACACAUAAAUGAAUACAGUUGGACCGUGUCGUAUUUUAAUUUUAAUUUUUAUAAUAAUAAAUCUUAAUUUUAUUUUCUCUCUCUAUUACACUUCAAAAUUGAAUUAAUUUAUUUGCGUUAUUAUGUCUUAAUUUUUCUUCUUCUUCUUCAGCUGCUACUACUAUUUCUCUCUUUCUCUCUCUACUGAUUUUCUCUCUCAAUUUCUCCGGCGAACAUUUCUUCUUCCUUUGACUUGCACCGAUCACAAUCCACUGCCGCCGACGACUUAGUCAGCCAUGGGUCAUUGCUGCAGCAAAAUUGCUGUCGACAACGAAACAAUCACCACCGAUCACAACCACAAACCACCACCUAAUCACGCACCAUCACCGUUUUCUCAACCUAUUUCCACCGUCAGCGAUGCUACACCAGGAAGACAAACUCCGGCGACAUCUUUCUCCACAAGUCCUUUCAAUAGUCCUCUUCCUGCAGGUGUUAUGCCGUCUCCGGCUACCAAGACUCCUGGUAGGAAAUUCAGGUGGCCACUUCCUCCACCGUCUCCGGCAAAGCCGAUUAUGGCGGCUUUGAUGAGACGGCAAGGGAAGACGAAACCGAAAGAUGGACCGAUACCGGAGGAACAAGGUGGGGAAGGUGGUGGAGAUGGAGAGAGAACGUUGGAUAAGAGUUUUGGAUAUGGGAAGAAUUUUGGGGCCAAAUUUGAGCUUGGUAAGGAAGUUGGUCGAGGGCAUUUUGGUCAUACUUGUUGGGCUAAAGGGAAGAAAGGUGAACUUAAGGGAGUAUCAGUUGCUGUCAAAAUCAUUACCAAAGCUAAGGUGAAAAUUAGGAUCAUAAAUUUUAUAUUUUUUAUAUAAAAUUUGGUUUUUGAUGAUGAUGAUUAAUUGAAAAAGUCAAUUGUUAAGAUAAUUUGAUGCGUGUUUAGUACUCUAGUCUUGGUCAAUGAAUUCAAGAUCAAUUGUUGACUUUUGUGAGUAUUUUGAUUUUGAUGAUUCAAUUGAAGUUUGUGAUUAGUGUUUGUUUAUGUUUUUGGUUUUGAAUUUGGUAGCUCAGUUUGGAAGUCAAGUUAACUUCUUUGGAAAACUAUGAUACCAAAUUUGAAUUUUUUCCAUGUUUAGUUGAUAUAUUCGGAAUCGAUACCAUUAAUAAUACAUUAUGGAAAAUGGUAAGGUAGUAUAGUUUUGCAAAGAAGUUCGAAAUGGUUAUACUUUUAUUGGUGAUGUUAGAUGUUGCUUUCCAUAGUAUUAAGACAACCUUUGUCAUUGACAUUUUCUAAAUUAAUGCUGCUUUAGGUAGUCAAUAGCGGCUGCUGUAGAGUAGAGUUGUCACGUAGCAUAGCAGCCCCUAGAGGUUAUAUGAAACCCUACUACGUUGCACUUUUUAGUAACGGCCGUAGCAGCCAAACAGGUGAUGCAACGGUCGUUACAAUGAAGCUCCCAUAAAAACCCGAACAUGCAACUAACUCUGUUUUUUUUCCCUUCCUUUUUUAGAUGUUGAUAGCUUUAAAAUUGAAGUUUCAAUCAAAAGUCAAUUGUUAAGAUUAUUGAUGUGUUUUUACUUGGGAGUUUAGGUGGUAUGCAUGUUUGGUACUCGGUCAAUUCAGGAUCAAUUGUUGAAUUUUGUGAGUAUUUUGAUGAUUGAGAUGAAUUUCGUGUUACGUUGGUAAGUUUUAGUGGUAAAUGUAAUAUGUGAUUAGAGUUUUCUAUUUUUUUUGAAUUUGGAAGCUCAAUUUAGCAGUCAAGCACUCUUUGAAAAGCUGUGAUACCAAAUUUGAAUUUGUUUCAACUUUAGCCCAUAUAUUAUGAGUGGAUACCAUACCAAUACGAUAAUGGAACUUGGUAAGGUAGUAAGUAACCUAUGUUAUUGGUAAUGUUUUGCAAUGAAGUUCCAAAUUAUUUUAUUGGUAACGUUAAAUGUUCCUCUCCUGUUUAUAGUAUUAAAUUAACCUUUGUUAUUUCCAUUUUCUAAGUUAAUGUUGGUCUCAGUAGUCCAUGGUGGCCGCUACAGCAGUGUUGUGUAGCAUAGCAGCCCCUAGGGAUUAUAACUUAUACGAAACCCCACUGUGUUGCAUUUUUCAGUAGCAGCUGUUACAAUGAAGCUCCCGUAAAAACCCGAACAUGCCACUAACUUAUAAUCAGUCCCUGUGGUUGUUUUUUUUAUUAUUUAUUUUUAAUAAUUUUUUUGGUCUUUUACCCUAAAACUUAUUCGAUUUAAAUUGGGCUUGAAUAUGGGUAAAAAAGAACUAAGUCACGAAUACCAGAAUAUGUCUUUAACUUUACGUAUUCUCAUAUUUUUAUAUUUUAUAUGUGUAUGGGAAUUAUUAUGAUAUAAAUUUCUCGUAUUGUUACAUUAAGAUGUAACAGCCGUAUUACUAUCCGUUGUACUGCAACACAUUUUGGGGGUUGGCCGCUACACUCCACUAUCCACCAUUACAUAUAUGCUGGUACGAUAAAGGAAAAUGCCUGAAAACCUGUUUUUCCAAUCAAAUUCAUAAGUACCGAAAGCCAAACAUUACAGGAUUAAUUAUGCCAGAUAAUGCUUCUUUUAAAAGGGAAACCAUCGGGGAAAAAUGAUGUGGCAAAGAAAUUUGGUUGCAACUGGUUCUUAAUCUCUGGUUGGUUUCUUGGGAGCAUCACAAUAAAUUGUUGAGAUUAGGGUGGCAAAAAUGUUGGAGUUACUAUGUGACUAGAAAAGCACGGCUCUUAAAAACAGCUUGCCGCAAAUACUUUACAAAUGCACGGCGAGGUUGCUUACAGUAGACUCCCAAAGGGUCCAAAAACUAAGAAAAAGGUGAAGUUGUAACAUCUAUAGCAAGGGCAAGCCAUUGCAUUUUGUGGCUUUUGUUUAAGUUAUUCUGCAUGCAGGAAUUAUGAUUUUCCAAAAGUUUUUUUUUGGUUCUAUUGAUGGGCAAUUGUUUGCGUAGUGAAGCUCAUUGGUCAUAUCCCCUUUUACCGGUACAAGGAUGGAUGAAACCGUUCAAGUUACUAGUUUUUUAUUUGACAAAAGCUGUUUCAGGCAUCUGGUUAGAUCAUUAGUAAUCAUAUUGGUGUUUAGUUGUACACUGAAGAAUGCAUAUACCGAACCUGGGUAUUUGUUAUUGUUUUUCAUGUGCAUUAUGAACUGAAUUGGAGUGCAGCAUAUAUGCUCAAUAACAAAAAGUAAGAGGAAAAUUGAGAUCACGGAGCAUGGGAAUAAACAGCACCUUUCUUAUUGAUGAUUGAUGAAAAUUACCAGAAUUAUACCUUUAUUGCGAGUCCUAUAGGCAUAAGACAAUUUAGAGCUUUCAUUUUAGCUACUUGGCCUCUGGUGGGUGAUGUUUCUAGGAAGAGCAUGAGAAAAAGCUGAACCUAUACUCCUGCAACUUUUAAUUAUUCUCUAAACAAUCAAAUUGGAGUCUGAGAGUAAAUUUUAAUUUGGGACGGGGAAAUUGCAUAUUGUGAUGCUAUGGUUGUUGCUUCUGUUUUUUCAUGACAUAGAUCAACAUUAAUUGAGCUUUGAUUUUCACCUUUUUUUUUUAUCUCGCAUUGCAAUUUUUGCUUGCAGAUGUUUAUUGCGAUUAACUGAUUUUUGUAUGGCAGAUGACUUCUGCAAUAGCAAUUGAAGAUGUGAGGAGGGAGGUGAAAAUGUUGAAGGCCUUAUCUGGACAUAGGAAUUUGGUCAAGUUUUAUGAUGCAUUUGAGGAUGCGAACAACGUCUACAUUGUGAUGGAGUAUGUAUAGAAACAAUUAUAUCUGAAAAUUUCUUUCAGUCUUGAUAGGAUUUUAUUCAUAUUUUGAUCUACUGGUAAAUUGUGUUCUCAUGAAGUUAUUGGGUAAAAAAGGACUUGAUCAUAAGUACAUGUUUUCAAUAAUGUUAAUAAUAUGAGCAGAUUUUGUAGCUGUGUAGUACAUACAACUUUUAAAUUAUUCAUUUAUCCCGAAUUAAUGAGAUAUUCUUGUUGUUGUCAGGUUGUGCGAGGGCGGAGAAUUACUGGACAGAAUUCUAGAUAGGUAAAACCUAAAGAUUGUUUUUUAUUUACUAUCUGUUACUUUGUUGUCCCUCCAUACUUUUCUUGCAAAAGUUCGAUCUUUAAAUAACAUGAUUGUAAUUGGAGUCAUUUGAUGUUAAUUAUUUAUGAAGAGGUGGAAGAUACCCAGAGGAUGAUGCCAAAGUUAUUCUUCUACAAAUUCUGAAUGUAGUUGCCUUUUGUCAUCUUCAGGGAGUUGUUCAUCGCGAUCUAAAACCAGAGGUAUAUGGCACUGUGAAGUUUGAACUACUUAUGUUACUUGGUCACACCUUUCAGUGCACAUGGAAUUUUGUUUGUAUCAUUACUUCUCGUAUUUAUAACUUGUAAUCCUAAUGCUUUACCUACAUUGCAGAAUUUUCUUUUUGUCUCAAAAGAUGAGGAUGCUGUUUUGAAAGUUAUUGACUUUGGUCUAUCUGAUUUUGUUAGGCCAGGUAAUAUGAUUGAAUCGACCUUGCUAUAUUCAGUAUCUAAUUGUAUAAUAAAUCAUAUCCUAGAUUCCUAGUUACUAACUCUCUUGUAUUUAAGUUUCUUCCUAGUUUUAGCUUCGGCAUAUUGAAUUCACACAUUCAAAUUGCCGGAUAAAAUAUCAUAUGUUUUAUGCCAUAUGGUCUGACACUUUCAGAUUUUUUGGGAUAUCCACACAGCUGUACAAUGGAAAAAUUGUGAUAUUUUACCAUGUAUCACAAUUUCAUCAGUCUUUAAUUUUGAAAUGGACAUCUAUAUCUAUGAUUGAAAUAAUUGCAGUAGUUUUGUUGUGAAAUUAAGAACUCAACACGCUUAAAACUUUUUAAUAUUUUCCAUCUGCUUGAAAUAUCUGAUACUACCGAAUCGUUGAUAUGAUAUCUUUAAAUACCUUUUAAAAACCACUUUCUAAAUGGCGUUUUCUUGUGGAUAUUUCAUUAUUUUUGUACAAUAUUUUGUUUUUUUCUUCUCUAUUUAAGUUAUCUGUGGAAACAAAAUCGAGAUUAUAUAAACAGAGAUGCUAUUAGUACCUGUAAUGAUUGUUGUCUUGCAAAGAAACUAGGGGAAUAUUCAUUAGAAAACUUUUUAAUAUCUGUAUUAGUCUAUAUUAGUAAUGAAGUAAUGUUAUUUUCUACUAGUCAAAUACAUCCAUUUGCUUGUCAAAUGCUUUUUCACUAAUUUACUGAUUUAGAUGAAUUUGAGGACUUGCAUUAAUGCCUUAUGAUCAUUGCCGUUCUUCAAUUGAUUUUUGCACUGAUAGCACUGACUUCUUAUAAACAUGCAGAUCAACGCCUCAAUGAUAUUGUUGGUAGUGCCUACUAUGUUGCACCUGAAGUGCUCCAUAGAUCGUAUAGUGUUGAAGGAGACUUAUGGAGUAUUGGAGUUAUAACUUACAUAUUGUUAUGUGGAAGUAGGCCGUUUUGGGCACGGUCUGAAUCAGGAAUCUUCCGGUCUGUGUUAAGAGCAAAUCCUAACUUUGAUGAUUCACCUUGGCCAUCAAUAUCACCAGAAGCUAAAGACUUCGUGAAGAGACUUUUGAACAAAGACCACAGAAAAAGAAUGACUGCUGCUCAAGCUUUAUGUAUGUUUUGCUUAGACCAUGCUUAACUGAAUGGUUAAUUGUUUGUAUUGAAAUUUCUACGACACGCAAACACUCCUAAAUAUUAUUCUGUGAUUUUUAAUACUAAAAUUACCUCAAUAUGUGCAGCUCACCCGUGGUUGAGAGAUGAAAAAAAUGCCAUUCCUUUAGAUAUUUUGAUUUACAAGUUAGUCAAGUCAUAUGUGCGUGCCUCACCUUUGAAGCGUGCAGCGUUGAAGGUAGUCACCUGUUAUACCAUUAGUAGAAAUGCGUCUUUUGUCUGACAAUGGAAGAAGAGUAAUGUUUUCUGUUUUCUUUUUCUUUAUAUCAAUGCAGGCUCUCUCAAAAGCAUUGCCAGAUGAAGAGCUUACCUACCUUAGAGCACAAUUUAGCCUCUUGGAACCUAGAGAUGGUUUUGUUUCACUCGAGAAUUUCACAGUUGUAAGUGCACGAUUUUUGCAAAUUUAUGUCCUCUAUUACAUGAAGUAUUAAAGUAUUAAACACAUGCAAUAUUAUUAUCUGUUAACCCUAUUUAGUGUAAAUAUGCUAUGCUCAUCUACUAGAUUUGUUAAAUUAGUCUUUUAUGGUUUAAACUUUGUAGUCGGUCUAUUUGCUAUUCCCCNNNNNNNNNNNNNNNNNNNNNNNNCCCAUCUCUAAACCGAAAUUAAUAAAAUUAUAAUAAAUUCAGGCUCUAAUGAAAAAUGCAACUGAUGCCAUGAAGGAAGCAAGGGUCCCUGACAUUCUAAAUUUGGUAAGUCAUAUUUGUUGUGAUUAGAUGUUUUUGUUUUUCUUCCAACUUCAUCCAUUUUCUCAAAAAAUUGUAUACCAUGUCGUGAUUGAUUCAUAUGAUAAUAAACUGAAAACAAGCAGUUGCAUAAUAUUGAGGGGCACUGUGAUAUUGAGUUAAAUGAUGUAUAUAACCUUUAAGUCCGGCUCAUUUUCUCGACAACGGUAAUUAAUGAAAAUAGGAAGUAACUAUAAUUUGUUUAUACUUUAUAGUGAAAAUGUUCAGACGGUAUCAGUACCACCAUGAUCAUAUUGUAGUUAUUUGUUAUUUUUCUUAAGGAAAUGUAUUUAUUUUUUCCUUCGAAUGCAAAUAUAGUAUGAAAUAUCUGAAAUGCAUGUUUCUUGAAAUAAGAUGGAUCCGCUCUCCUAUAAAAGAUUGGACUUCGAAGAGUUUUGCGCUGCUGCAAUAAGUGUAUACCAGCUGGAAGUUCAUCCAGAUUGGGAUAAAAUUGCCACCGCAGCUUUUGAUUAUUUUGACGAGGAAGGGAACCGUGUCAUUUCACUCGAGGAGUUGGCACAGGUUUGCACAUUCAUUCCAAUAGCGCCUACUUUUGUUAAUUUUGUUUUAAAAGCUACGAAAUAGCCUAUACUUAACACUCUGGUAUAUUGUGUUCUUCAGGAGAUGAAUUUGGGGCCUUCUGCUUACUCUUUAAUGGGUGAUUGGAUCAGAAAAUCCGAUGGAAAACUCAGUUUGGUCGGAUAUACGAAGUAUUUGCAUGGAGUCACAAUUCGUAGUUCAAAUACAAGACACAGAUAGCUAUGAUGAUUAAAAGGAGAUGUUAUUAUAUUUAUUGAAAUUAGUUUGUGUUCUUUUCUUUUUAAAUUUGAAUUGAAAUAUUUUCUUUUUGAAUUUGAAUUGAAAGGAAAAUGGUACAAAGGGUCUAUAAGCAAAUAUUUUUUGGGGACUUUGGGGAUUGUAUUGUAUCAGUAUCAGUAUCAUGAUGGAAAAGUAGAGGUAGCUAACAUAUUGUUUUGUUCCUCAUGUGAUAUUUGUGGUGCAAAGUAAAAAUUCUCUCAUUUUACUUGUGAGCAUAAAUGCAACUUGCUUUCUUAUAAGAUUUUAUGUGAAGAUUAAAGACUCUUCUAUUUGAGUCAACUUUAUCAUACGCCACCAAAUGUAGCACUUUGUUUUGUUUCACAAGAAUAUUGUGGUAGAUAAAUGCGGUAGUUAAGACUUAAAAUAGGCCAUGUUGUUACAUAACUUAAGGAAUUAUGUGUAUUUGGUCUAUAGAUCCAUGUUUAAAAUGAUAGAUUAUUCUUUGUAGGACUGGUCAAAAUUCAAAAGAAAAGAGACGCGCUUAUAUUAUGCUUCUAGCUCAUAUGAAAAGAGAGAAUAUGUUGUGACUUGUGACAUAAGUGGUGUGAGGAUGAUUGGGUCUCUCUCUCCCCACUUAAUCAUUUGGUUCAAAAGUUUGAUUAUAAUUUGUCAAAAAAAAAAAUAAGUUUGAUUAUAAUUGGAGCCUCUGUAAAAUUGAAGCAAAAAAAAUAUUUUUCGUAAUUGAGAGAACGAUGUUGAAGUAAACAAUAAGUCGAUUAUUGUAAACCGAGGAGUACUAAAUAUAAACAAAAAUAAUCAAUUCCACACACACAAAAAUGUUAGUGAACAUAAUAUAAUUUUCUAAAUAUUAUAACAAAAAUAUAAUUGUAUUUUCUAAAUUAUCAUUUGUCAUUAUUUAAUUUUCUAUAAAAAUUUGUUUCAUUUGAACAUCAAUUAAUGGAUUAAAUGUUUUUUUUCCUUUUCGGAAGAGUAAAUUUAGUUGAUCUUGAGUGAUAAGAAUUGGUGGCCCGCGUAAGCAGUGAGUCAAAGUUAAAGUUGGUAGAGUACCUACAAACACUUUGAUGCUCACCUCUGUAUAAGAACGUGAAACGAAAGGUUUUCAGUUGCGUAUCAUGUGAGGUGUUGGAAGUGAACCCCUUACUUACAUAGAGGGACGAGUAGUCUCUGGACAUCAUAUCAUAUCAUUAAAGUGUGGCUAUAAUGGACAGUGCCCUUCAACAUUGUGCUCGAAAUGAACAUUAAGGUUGCAGAGACAUUAAGGGUGUUCUUCAACAUUUGUGACUCUUGAUGUGAAGAUAUCUUGGAAGAUGUUUUCUCUCCCGACCUCCCGUGAUUCUUUUAUAUCUCUCAAUAUUUCAAUUUUGCCCUUGAUUCGCAGAAAUCGAAUUUUUUCAAUUGCAAAUUCAGAGUAAAUUUUGGUUUUUAGAAACCGAAAUUUGUUUUCAAGACAAAAAAAAAAACUUCGGUUUCUACAAACCGAAUUUUUUUGCAAGGGCAAAAUUGGAAAUUCAUGCGGUAUAAAAGAAACAGGGAUGUCGGAAGAGAAAACAUCAUCUUGGAAUGGGUCUAUCGGGCCUAUGUAUUUCUGGGCCGGACAGAGGAAGCGAGCAUGGGCCUCGGCCCAUUCUAGCAUAAUAUGGAAGUUAGUUGACAUUUUUUUAAUUAGUUUUUCAGUUAGUUGACAUUUUAUUAUUAUUAUAUAUUAAUAAUUAAGUUGACAUUUUUGAAUUGAAUGUAUCAAACAUGAUUUGUGUUCUGACAAAAUAACAAAUGAUUUGUACGUUUUCUUUGUAUAUUCUAGACUCCAAUAUUAUGGAGGAAGAAACUAUUGACAUGGUUUCCUUUUAACAAAAAAAGGUAUUGACAUUAUAUUUGUCCCAGAAGUAACGUUGAAUCACAUUGCAUUUUUUCAUUUGAAAGUUAAAAGCUUAAAACACCAAUUCAGCUUUGUCAAUGUCAUCAAAAUUAGUGUGUCGAUCAAAAUAAAAAACGUCAUCAAUAUUAUUAAUUACUAGUAUAAAAGUUUGAAUGGGUCUGAGUUUGUGAUGAAAAAUACGUUACGUUGAGAUUAAUUAAAUAAACAAAAUGGUCUGCAGAACGUGGCGGAUUAGUUGUCAAACGCUGGAUUAAUUGCCGAAACAAGUAAAAAGCUGCUGUUUAGUGAAGGCACGAUUCAUAUUGGAAUUGGACAUGUAUGAAUGAAGACUCUCUCAACAAACAUAAAAAUAUUAGAAUACUUCUUUUCUAAUAAUAGUUUCUGAUGGAUAGUUAUGAACUUUUUGUUUUAUUUUAUCAAAUAAAAUAAAAUAGAUUUUAAUUUUAGUAAAUUCUCCUGUACACGUUAUGUGGAUAUGUACCAGUACAUUUGUUGAGAUGGAUGAUUCUAAUUGAUUUACAAAUAAUAUUUAUUAAUUUUUCUAUAUUAAAUAUUAUUUGUGAAUCAAUCACAAUCAUCCAUAUAAGCCGUGUACCGAUACAUAUCCACGACAUGUGUACUGGAGUGUUCCCCAUAAAUUAUAUCUAUCCCAUCCCAUGAAGUUAGUUCUUUGCUAUCUUUUACAAUAUGAGAGAUGAUUUGUAAAAAAAAAGAAAAAAGAGAUGAUUGCACCAAAAAUAAAAUAAAAUGAGAGAUGAUAGUUAGAAAUUAACUUGCUAGGUUGAGAAUAAUUUAGAGGUAAUUUAUUACAACCUGCGGUUGUUAAUAUAAGCUAGUACGGGUCGUAACGUUACGAAGAUAUUUUUUUAAGUUAUAGUUUAGUAAUCAAAAUUGGAAGCAGAUGUUUUUAAAAUUUAGAUGUAGUUAAUAAGUAUUUAGAAUUUUGUUGGAAAUAUGCAGACAAUAUUUUUUACAAAGUGUUAAUUAUGAAUUUUGAUUGGUUUUAAAGGUAAAAAUAGUUAUAUGGUGUAAAUUUGUGAAGAGACAUAAAAUUCACUUUGAACAUGUACCUAAAAGACAUAAGACUUUAAAUAGUUACAUAAUUUUUGUUAACCAAAAGAACAUUGGAAAACAAAGUUAGAACUUAUCCGCAUAAAAUAAGUUUUUUGAAAUUUUUAUAAGUUAGAAUUUGUCAAUUUUUAUCAGUUAGAAUUUGUCAAUUCAAUUUUUAUAAGUUAUUCACUUUGAACUUGUCUCACAUUUAAUAAAUAUUUCUCAACUUUUAUCAGUUAGAAUUUAUCUUGUACAGAUAGUUAAUUUGGAAUAUAUAAGUUAGAACUUAUUCUGUAUAAAAUAAGUUUUUUGAAAUUUUUAUAAUUUAGAACUUGUCUCGCAUAUGAUAAUUAUUUUGAAAUUUUUAUAAGUUAGAAUUUGUCCCGUAUAUGAUAAUUAAUUUGAAAUUUAUAUAAGUUAGAACUUAUCCCGUAUAAAAGUUUUUUUUUGAAAUUUUUAUAAUUUAGAACUUGUCUCACGUUUGAUAAUUAUAUUAAAAAUUUUAUCAGUUAGAAAUUGUCUUGUAUAUGAUAGUUAUUUGAAAUUUAUAUAAGUUAGAACUUAUUUCUAAUAAGAUAGUUUUUUUAAAAAAAAAUUGUAAUUGGUUAGAACUUUCUCACAUUUGAUAAUUAUUUUAAAAUUUUUAUCAAUUAGAAUUUGUCCCAUAUAUAUAUAUAUAUAUAUAUAUAUAUANNNNNNNNNNNNNNNNNNNNNNNNNNNNNNNNNNNNNNNNNNNNNNNNNNNNNNNNNNNNNNNNNNNNNNNNNNNNNNNNNNNNNNNNNNNNNNNNNNNNNNNNNNNNNNNNNNNNNNNNNNNNNNNNNNNNNNNNNNNNNNNNNNNNNNNNNNNNNNNNNNNNNNNNNNNNNNNNNNNNNNNNNNNNNNNNNNNNNNNNNNNNNNNNNNNNNNNNNNNNNNNNNNNNNNNNNNNNNNNNNNNNNNNNNNNNNNNNNNNNNNNNNNNNNNNNNNNNNNNNNNNNNNNNNNNNNNNNNNNNNNNNNNNNNNNNNNNNNGUAAAAUCUGGUUUGAUAAAACAUUUUUCCACUCACAAAUGCCCCACAUAGCUCAUAUGACUUGGUUUCAUUUGAAAAUGAGUGUACUUUUAGUUCAAUCAUCAAAUUUUUGGACAUCAAUUACCCUUACUUUGGGCACAUGGCAACACCUUAAGCAAUAAUAGUUUAAACUUAUCAAGAACAAUUAACUUUCUUAUAUAGAUUAGAUAUUUAGCCAUUAUAAGUUAAAUAUAUUAGUUAGUGAAUAUAUUAAAAUGUAAUUUUUUUUUAUAUUAAAUAUAAGAGGAAGUAUAUUUCUUUAGUUCAAGCAUCACACAUGGAAUAUAUAUAGUGCUCACAUAUGGAAUAUAUAUAGUGCUUAUCAAAAAGAAAAAAAGGGCAGAGAGUAAUUAUUUAGAAGGUUUAUUAAAUUUUAUUUUAAUUAUAGAAAAUUCUCACUGGUUUAUUUAUUUUUGUCUUAUGAUGUAGAGGUGUUGAAAUUUCUCGCUUAAGUCCUUAAUUAGUUGCAGUUUUUCUAGAAUUGGGUAUACAUAUCAAUGUUUGCAGGCGGAUCCAUUUAACCCAUAAUUUGUGCGGAUUUAUGAUAUUUUUUUUGUCCAUUUAUAUUUUGUUUGUGUGAGUGUUUUUUUUUGACUAAAAAUAAAGGAUAUUCAUUCAUUCAAACUGAUAGAGUACAUCGAUGUAAUACAAAUACAAAUUUGCUNNNNNNNNNNNNNNNNNNNNNNNNNNNNNNNNNNNNNNNNNNNNNNNNNNNNNNNNNNNNNNNNNNNNNNNNNNNNNNNNNNNNNNNNNNNNNNNNNNNNNACCUGAAAUCACCCCUCUUUGAUAAACUAAGAAGAAGAAAAAAGGUGACGGCUAGGGUUAGAACUUAGGAGAUUUUGUGUGAGUGUUAUACUAUUAAAAUCAUGGAUUAAUGGAUUCUCUCAAGUGUGAUUUACACUUGAGAGAGAAUAAAGUGUAAUCUAACACUAUUUAAAUUCAUUUUCUCUAAAUUUUUAUAUGUUUCUCUCUCUUGAUCAAUGGUAACAAACCAUACUUUAUUCUCUCAAGUGUAAAUUACACUUGAGAGAAUCCAUUCCCGGAUUAGACUGAUUAAAUUUGCGGGUUCGUGGGUUAGCCCACUUAGUUCGUAUACCCAUAUGUGCGUGUGGAAAUGCUAAUGCACAUCUACUUUUUUUUUUCACCACCAGUAUAAUCUGGUUUGGGGUGCAUCAAAUGGUUUCAUCCCCUCCCGAUCGCAGUUACGGGGGAUCGAACCAUGGUCCUUCCUACCAAGUUCAGCGUCAAUCACCACUGAACCAACUAACGAUUGGUUCACACCUAUUCUUUUUUAUGAAGGUGUGCAUUAACAAUUUUAGUAGUAUGAAGGAGCCCUAGGAGUAGAUAAACAGAUUUCAUGCCAAACUUUUCUUUCUUUGAUGAAAAUUUCAUACGCGCUGACUUUGAUUACAUCUCUCAGUUUUUCUUUUUAGCGAAGAAAUAGACAAAGAAAACCCUAUGAUAUUUUUUUGGGGUUACGCCUACUAUACAGUACAGUAUAUGAUUUUUUAAAAGCAAUUUAUGACAGCGCAACAACCUAAAAAAGCUGAGUAUCUUUGUAAGAUUAGCAUUUUUUAACAUAAUGAUUGGUUUAGAAAUUAUAUUCAUAGUUUAGUCAAAAAAAAAAAAUUCAUAGUCAAGAUCACCCAUAGUCCCAUAUAUAUUCGGAGGAAAAUGUGAACACCAAGCCACUACCCAACGUGGUUGUUGACGUAAUCAUGAUGAAUAAUUAGAAAUUACUAGUACUAGCUAGGUCUUAAGUAAUUAAUUAAUUAAUCAAAUCACAUUGCUUAAUUAGAUUUUCCGGGUGAAUAGCAUAGAGGACAAAUGUGAUGACUUAAUGGGUCGAUGAAUACACGCCAAGUGUGUAUGAAGUUUGAAGUUGAACCACAACUAUCCACCAAACUUGCUACCAUAUUCCUUAUCAUAAUAAAAAAAGAAACCCCACCAUUAAGAAACCAAAGGCAAAGCAACUAGAUCUAUUUCUUUUUUGAACAAAGAUCUAAAAUUAAACGGCAUAAAUAACAGAAAAACAAAGCCAAAAAUGUUUAGUCCCUUUCCUAGGUCCAUGUCCUCCUUAGAGCAAUUCCCAUGAAUAUAAUUUAUAAAACUCAUUUGGAUAGUUUAUCUCUUAUUUAAUGGAUUUUAGUGUGCCACAUUACAUUUAUAUAACCUAUAAUAAUUUUACUUCAAUGGUAUGGUAUAUAUUUAAAUUUAAACAACUUAUAAGGUACCAUAUCUUAAUUAAUUUUUUAUUUGGUUGAUCACAAGUUCAAUUUAUGAAAUUCGUAUUGCCACGUAAAUAUGCUCUAAUAGAUAGUACAGUUGCAUAGUAUUUGAAACUUAAUGAUAAAUAAAAUACUUGUUGAAGACGCUCAUAAUUAUAAUCAUAAUGAAUUGAUCUAAACGAUAAAAAAUUAUAACCAACUUAAACAUAUACAAUAUGUGGUUAGGGUUUUAAUUUCUUCCUCCUACAUAUAAAAAAAUUUAGUUAAGAGAAGACAACUUAUUUUAAGUUUCCACGACAAUUAAUUGCAGUUAAAAUUUGUACCUAGCUAUAAAAAUAAAAAUUGUACACCCACAAAUAUAUAUUAGAUUUCUUAAAGUUAAUAUUUCUUUUGCGUAGGGCCAAACUAAAAGGGAAAAAAAGAAAGAAAGUCUAUGUUUAUCUUUAUUCCAAAUUCCUACCGUGUCUUUCACGCUAGCAGCAACUUCCAACAAAUUAACAGCUAUCUCUUUUCUUCUUCUUCUUUUUUUUUUUUUUUUUUUAAUUAAAAACCUCACAUAUCAUCAUAAGAAUGGAAUUUAUUUUGAUACAAUCAUCAUAAGAUUGAAAUUACAACGAAAUAGAAUGAUAUACAAUGAUCAUAUGAUUGAAAUUUAUUCUAUAAAAAAAGAUUGAAAUUUACUAAAAAAAAAAUCAUAUAAGAUUGAUACUACGAAAGAAAAUUACACACACAUGAAUAUUAUUAAUUUUGAUUGAGGAUACACGCAAUAUUAUUAUUGGCAAAUUAUACACAUUAUUCUUCACAUCACAAUAUAAUUCUCUUAAAUUUUUUCCAUUGAUAUCAAUCAAUUAUACCCAAACAUAAUCUAAAAUUCAAGAUCCAACAUUUUCUUACUAAAUCAUAUCAACACCAUUGGAGAAAAACAAAAGAAAAUACAUAAAAGCGUCAUGUGUACGUAAUAAUUUGCUCAAACUAGUAAUAACAAUAUUGAAUCAAACUUUAAAACACCAAGCAUGGUGAUGGUGGUGAGANNNN
This 20556-nucleotide long non-coding RNA is filed under the name Trifolium pratense (red clover). RNAcentral describes it as "long non-coding RNA (TPRA_LNC000670)". The record is from RNAcentral. Lineage: Eukaryota; Viridiplantae; Streptophyta; Magnoliopsida; Fabales; Fabaceae.